RNAcentral lists this long non-coding RNA (518 nucleotides) under Helianthus annuus (common sunflower). The record is from RNAcentral. Lineage: Eukaryota; Viridiplantae; Streptophyta; Magnoliopsida; Asterales; Asteraceae.
GGUUGCGAUCAUAACAGCACUAAUGCACCGGAUCUCAUCAGAACUCCGUAGUUAAGCGUGCUUGGGCCAGAGUAGUAGCAGGAUAGGUGACCCCCUGAGAAGUUCUCGUGUUGCAACCCUUAUUUUAUUUGGAUUAUUUUUCGGUUAUAUAUAUAUUUAAUCAUUGAUUCAUCGGGCCUAAGUGGCAGUGUUCGUUGGAACGGGGCUACAGGGGGGUGGAGGCGUGAUAGCUUAAGGAUAACGGUAGUGACCGACUUUGUCAAAGUAAUGGCCUUGACGAAGGCGUGCAGUCGAACGGCGCGCGGGAGACGCGAAACAGGGGCCAUACAUGGGAGCCCAUGUGUGCAUGACAUCAAGGCAUGGCAAGGUAUAAAAGAAUAAGUAGAUGGUAGUCUUUCGGUUGCGAUCAUACCAGCACUAAUGCACCGGAUCCUAUCAGAACUCCGCAGUUAAGCGUGCUUGGGCGAGAGUGGUACUAGGAUCGGUGACCCCCUGGGAAGUCCUCGGGUUGCAACUAU